RNAcentral lists this ribosomal RNA (465 nucleotides) under uncultured bacterium. Its description in RNAcentral is "partial 16S ribosomal RNA". It matches the Rfam family "Bacterial small subunit ribosomal RNA", at positions 28 to 507 of the family's 1533-position model. The record is from RNAcentral.
GACGAACGCUGGCGGCACGCUUAACACAUGCAAGUCGAACGAGAGAAGAGAAGCUUGCUUUUCUGAUCUAGUGGCGGACGGGUGAGUAACACGUGAGCAAUCUGCCUUUCAGAGGGGGAUACCGAUUGGAAACGAUCGUUAAUACCGCAUAACAUCAUUGAACCGCAUGAGUUGAUUAUCAAAGAUUUAUCGCUGAAAGAUGAGCCCGCGUCUGAUUUGCUAGUUGGUAAGGUGAGGGCUUACCAAGGCGACGAUCAGUGGCCGGACGGGGAGGUUGGCCGGCCACAGUGGGACUGAGACACGGCCCUGACUCCUGCGGGAGGCAGCAGUGGGGUAGCUUGCACGAUGGAGGCAACUCUGAUGCAGCGCGGCCGCGUGAGGGAGGAAUGUUGUUUGAUUGCAAACCUCGGUCUUCACGGACGGAAAAAGACGGUACCUGAGGAAGAAGCACCGGCUAACUACGUG